UGGGGAAUUUUGGACAAUGGGCGAAAGCCUGAUCCAGCCAUGCCGCGUGAGUGAAGAAGGCCUUCGGGUUGUAAAGCUCUUUUAGUCGGAAAGAAAGAGUUGCAAUGAAUAAUUGUGAUUUAUGACGGUACCGACAGAGAAAGCACCGGCUAACUACGUGCCAGCAGCCGCGGUAAUACGUAGGGUGCGAGCGUUAUCCGGAAUUAUUGGGUUUAAAGGGUGCGUAGGCGGACUAAUAAGUCAGUGGUGAAAGCCUGCAGCUUAACUGCAGAAUUGCCAUUGAUACUGUUAGUCUUGAGUACAGUUGAGGUAGGCGGAAUGUGUCAUGUAGCGGUGAAAUGCUUAGAUAUGACACAGAACACCGAUUGCGAAGGCAGCUUACUAAGCUGUAACUGACGCUGAGGCACGAAAGCGUGGGGAGCAAACA
Molecule: ribosomal RNA, 427 nt
Filed under: uncultured bacterium
Lineage: Bacteria
Description: bacterial SSU rRNA
Rfam family: Bacterial small subunit ribosomal RNA
Source: RNAcentral